Molecule: ribosomal RNA, 446 nt
Filed under: uncultured bacterium
Lineage: Bacteria
Description: partial 16S ribosomal RNA
Rfam family: Bacterial small subunit ribosomal RNA
Source: RNAcentral
CCUACGGGAGGCUGCAGUCGAGAAUCAUUCACAAUGGGGGAAACCCUGAUGGUGCGACGCCGCGUGGGGGAAUGAAGGUCUUCGGAUUGUAAACCCCUGUCAUGUGGGAGCAAAUUAAAAAGAUAGUACCACAAGAGGAAGAGACGGCUAACUCUGUGCCAGCAGCCGCGGUAAUACAGAGGUCUCAAGCGUUGUUCGGAAUCACUGGGCGUAAAGCGUGCGUAGGCUGUUUCGUAAGUCGUGUGUGAAAGGCGCGGGCUCAACCCGCGGACGGCACAUGAUACUGCGAGACUAGAGUAAUGGAGGGGGAACCGGAAUUCUCGGUGUAGCAGUGAAAUGCGUAGAUAUCGAGAGGAACACUCGUGGCGAAGGCGGGUUACUGGACAUUAACUGACGCUGAGGCACGAAGGCCAGGGGAGCGAAAGGGAUUAGAUACCCUGGUAGUC